This 378-nucleotide unclassified non-coding RNA is filed under the name uncultured Gammaproteobacteria bacterium. Its description in RNAcentral is "contains 16S-23S intergenic spacer region". The record is from RNAcentral. Lineage: Bacteria; Pseudomonadati; Pseudomonadota; Gammaproteobacteria.
UCCGUUUUGUCAACGGCAGUCUCUCUAGAGUGCCCGGCCGAACCGCUGGCAACUAAAGAUAAGGGUUGCGCUCGUUGCGGGACUUAACCCAACAUCUCACGACACGAGCUGACGACAGCCAUGCAGCACCUGUGUAAAGGUUCCCUUUCGGGCACUCCCCAAUCUCUCGGGGAUUCCUUCCAUGUCAAGGGUAGGUAAGGUUUUUCGCGUUGCAUCGAAUUAAUCCACAUCAUCCACCGCUUGUGCGGGUCCCCGUCAAUUCCUUUGAGUUUUAAUCUUGCGACCGUACUCCCCAGGCGGUCUACUUCACGCGUUAGCUGCGUUACCAAGUCAAUUAAGACCCGACAACUAGUAGACAUCGUUUAGGGCGUGGACUAC